GACGAACGCUGGCGGCGUGCUUAACACAUGCAAGUCGAACGGAAAGGCCCCUUUGGGGGUACUCGAGUGGCGAACGGGUGAGUAACACGUGAGUAACCUGCCCUUGACUUCGGGAUAACUUCAGGAAACUGGGGCUAAUACCGGAUAGGAAUCCUUGCUGCAUGGUGGGGGUUGGAAAGCUUCGGCGGUUUUGGAUGGACUCGCGGCUUAUCAGCUUGUUGGUGGGGUAGUGGCUUACCAAGGCUUUGACGGGUAGCCGGCCUGAGAGGGCGACCGGCCACAUUGGGACUGAGAUACGGCCCAGACUCCGACGGGAGGCAGCAGUGGGGAAUAUUGCACAAUGGGCGGAAGCCUGAUGCAGCAACGCCGCGUGCGGGAUGACGGCCUUAGGGUUGUAAACCGCUUUCAGCAGGGGCGAAGCUUGUGGUGACGGUACCUGCAGAAGAAGCACCGGCUAACUACGUG
Molecule: ribosomal RNA, 465 nt
Filed under: uncultured bacterium
Lineage: Bacteria
Description: partial 16S ribosomal RNA
Rfam family: Bacterial small subunit ribosomal RNA
Source: RNAcentral